This 405-nucleotide ribosomal RNA is filed under the name Klebsiella pneumoniae. RNAcentral's name for it is "bacterial SSU rRNA". It matches the Rfam family "Bacterial small subunit ribosomal RNA", at positions 92 to 494 of the family's 1533-position model. The record is from RNAcentral. Lineage: Bacteria; Pseudomonadati; Pseudomonadota; Gammaproteobacteria; Enterobacterales; Enterobacteriaceae.
CGAGCGGCGGACGGGUGAGUAAUGUCUGGGAAACUGCCUGAUGGAGGGGGAUAACUACUGGAAACGGUAGCUAAUACCGCAUAAUGUCGCAAGACCAAAGUGGGGGACCUUCGGGCCUCAUGCCAUCAGAUGUGCCCAGAUGGGAUUAGCUAGUAGGUGGGGUAACGGCUCACCUAGGCGACGAUCCCUAGCUGGUCUGAGAGGAUGACCAGCCACACUGGAACUGAGACACGGUCCAGACUCCUACGGGAGGCAGCAGUGGGGAAUAUUGCACAAUGGGCGCAAGCCUGAUGCAGCCAUGCCGCGUGUGUGAAGAAGGCCUUCGGGUUGUAAAGCACUUUCAGCGGGGAGGAAGGCGAUAAGGUUAAUAACCUCGUGCGAUGACGUACCCGCAGAAGAAGCAUC